Molecule: long non-coding RNA, 869 nt
Organism: Saccostrea echinata
Lineage: Eukaryota; Metazoa; Mollusca; Bivalvia; Ostreida; Ostreidae
Exons: 2
Source: RefSeq, a predicted model, not a curated record
AAGAUUUUUGAUAACAGAAAAUUGCAUGUCAAAUUACAGAGAAAUUAAUGAGUUUAGUGUGAGGAGCUAACUGGUAGAGCAUCUCUGAUCAAGCAGGUGUUAUCUAUAUCCCUUGGGUAUUGGGCAAAUGGGUUAAAGCCUGUUGGAUUAAAAAUAGCUCUUGUUGGCUAGCCUAAGUUUUAAAAUGAAUUUGAUGAAAAGUAAUUAAAACUAAUUUGAUAUUGCAUAAUAGACUAAUCUGAUAUUAUAUAAUAUUAUUAAUUUAAAAACUAAUUUUAUGGGGUGGGGUGGAAUCAGCAUGUCCAUAUGAAUUACAUAUUAAAACCUGUCGGACAUUAAAUCUCAACAAAAAAAAUCUUUGAGUAUUUUAUAUGUUUUAAAAAAAAAUUGUGGUAGAUAGUGCAGACCCAUUCAUCUCUUGGUAGUAAUGAGUAGACAAGCAUCCAGGUACUUUUAGAUUAAUUAAUGAGUUCAAUGUAGGAAGGCUAGCUCAGUCUUAUCUGUAUCCUUUGGGGAUUAGACAGAAGAACUGCUGGUCAGUUUAUAGCAUAUUUGAUUUGAUGGCCAGCCUUUUAUUUUCAAAAUUAAUUUGGUAUAGAUUAAGGUGUUAAGACUAAUUUGAUAUUGUUUAAUAUGAUGGGCAUUCGACAAGGUCUAACACAACCAGCAUAGAAAUCUAUCAAUGAUGUAAUAUUUAUUAUAAUUAAUGCCUACAUCACAGGGGAUGGAUAAAUACUUUAAGGAAUGGAAAAAUCAUGGAAAUCUUAGAAUCAAGGUUGACAUGAUUUUCUUGCACUCUAAACUGUUCAAGAAAAUUGUAAUUUUUUGACGGGCGUAUCAUGCUGUGGCGCGGCACUUUAAUUGUGCUU